Molecule: ribosomal RNA, 575 nt
Filed under: uncultured fungus
Lineage: Eukaryota; Fungi
Description: eukaryotic LSU rRNA
Rfam family: 5.8S ribosomal RNA (bases 224-377)
Source: RNAcentral
AGAGGAAGUAAAAGUCGUAACAAGGUCUCCGUAGGUGAACCUGCGGAGGGAUCAUUACAGAGUUCUCGCCCUCGCGGGUAGAUCUCCCACCCACUGUUAUUGCUACCGUGUUGCUUUGGCGGGCUGCUGGGCCUAGCCCGGCCGCCGGCUCCGGCUGGCGCGCCCGCCAGAGGCCCGACAAAUUCUGAUUGUCAGUGUCGUCUGAGUACUAUAUAAUAGUUAAAACUUUCAACAACGGAUCUCUUGGUUCUGGCAUCGAUGAAGAACGCAGCGAAAUGCGAUAAGUAAUGCGAAUUGCAGAAUUCAGUGAGUCAUCGAAUCUUUGAACGCACAUUGCGCCCUGUGGUAUUCCGCAGGGCAUGCCUGUUCGAGCGUCAUUUCAACCCUCAAGCUCUGCUUGGUGUUGGGCCCCGCCGCUCGCGGCCGGCCCUAAAGACAGUGGCGGCAGCGUCUGGCUCCAAGCGUAGUACAGCUCUCGCUCUGGGGCUAGGCGGUAGCCUGCCAGAACCCCCUUCUAUGGUUGACCUCGGAUCAGGUAGGGAUACCCGCUGAACUUAAGCAUAUCAAUAAGCGGA